This 331-nucleotide ribosomal RNA is filed under the name Traulia szetschuanensis. RNAcentral's name for it is "partial 12S ribosomal RNA". Lineage: Eukaryota; Metazoa; Arthropoda; Insecta; Orthoptera; Acrididae. The record is from RNAcentral.
AUUAGCUAAGAUCUUGAAAUCCAAAGAAUUUGGCGGUAUCUUAUUCCAUCCAGAGGAGCCUGUCUCGUAAUUGAUAGUACACGAUUGACUUUACUUGGUUUAUUUGUUUGUAUAUCUCCGUUAUCAGAAGAUCUUUUUAGGGUUAUAAUUUUCUUAAUCUAUAAUUAUAAAUUAUUUCAGGUCAAGGUGCAGCUUAUAAUCAAGGGAAGAUGGGUUACAAUAAAUUUUUGUUUAUUAUGGAUUUAAUAGUGAAGUCUAUUAAUGAAGGUGGAUUUGGUAGUAAUUUAAUUUAUUUAAUUUAAUUGAUAUUGGCUCUGAGGUGUGUACACAU